MGAGUUUGAUCAUGGCUCAGAKUGAACGCUGGCGGCAUGCCUAACACAUGCAAGUCGCACGCGAAAGGGGGCAACCCCGAGUAGAGUGGCGGACGGGUGCGUAACGCGUAGGAAUAUACCUGGUAGUGGGGGACAACCCGGCGAAAGCCGGGCUAAUACCGCAUACGAUCCACGGAUGAAAGCAGGGGACCGCAAGGCCUUGCGCUAUCAGAUUAGCCUGCGUCGGAUUAGCUAGUUGGUGAGGUAAUGGCUCACCAAGGCAACGAUCCGUAGCUGGUUUGAGAGAACGACCAGCCACACUGGGACUGAGACACGGCCCAGACUCCUACGGGAGGCAGCAGUGGGGAAUAUUGGACAAUGGGGGCAACCCUGAUCCAGCAAUGCCGCGUGUGUGAAGAAGGCCUUCGGGUUGUAAAGCACUUUCGAUGGGGAAAAACAAGCCAGACCUAACACGUCUGGCCCUGAUGAAGAAGCACCGGCUAACUCUGUGCCAGCAGCCGCGGUAAUUCA
This 510-nucleotide ribosomal RNA is filed under the name uncultured Halomonas sp. RNAcentral describes it as "bacterial SSU rRNA". It matches the Rfam family "Bacterial small subunit ribosomal RNA", at positions 9 to 527 of the family's 1533-position model. Lineage: Bacteria; Pseudomonadati; Pseudomonadota; Gammaproteobacteria; Oceanospirillales; Halomonadaceae. The record is from RNAcentral.